This 252-nucleotide ribosomal RNA is filed under the name uncultured bacterium. RNAcentral's name for it is "partial 16S ribosomal RNA". It matches the Rfam family "Bacterial small subunit ribosomal RNA", at positions 524 to 776 of the family's 1533-position model. The record is from RNAcentral.
UACGUAGGGUCCGAGCGUUGUCCGGAAUUACUGGGCGUAAAGAGCUCGUAGGUGGUUUGUCGCGUUGUUCGUGAAAACUCACAGCUCAACUGUGGGCGUGCGGCGAUACGGGCAGACUAGAGUACUGCAGGGGAGACUGGAAUUCCUGGUGUAGCGGUGGAAUGCGCAGAUAUCAGGAGGAACACCGGUGGCGAAGGCGGGUCUCUGGGCAGUAACUGACGCUGAGGAGCGAAAGCGUGGGGAGCGAACAGG